AUAGUAUCAAUACAGCGCCCAAC
RNAcentral lists this non-coding RNA (23 nucleotides) under Rattus norvegicus (Norway rat). The record is from RNAcentral. Lineage: Eukaryota; Metazoa; Chordata; Mammalia; Rodentia; Muridae.